UUGUAUUAGGUUGGUGCAAAAGUGAUUGCGGUUUUUGCCAUUACUUUCAAUGAAAGCAAAUGGCAAAAACCGCAAUCACUUUUGCACCAAGCUAAU
Molecule: microRNA precursor, 96 nt
Filed under: Saimiri boliviensis boliviensis (Bolivian squirrel monkey)
Lineage: Eukaryota; Metazoa; Chordata; Mammalia; Primates; Cebidae
Description: miRNA (ENSSBOG00000018060.1)
Source: RNAcentral